AUUUAAAUAGCUUAUAUUUAGAGCGUGACACUGAAGAUGUUAAGGAAAUUGUUAUAAUUUUUAAAUA
RNAcentral lists this transfer RNA (67 nucleotides) under Ochlerotatus epactius. Its description in RNAcentral is "tRNA-Phe". It matches the Rfam family "tRNA". From Rfam's summary of the family: Transfer RNA (tRNA) molecules are approximately 80 nucleotides in length. Their secondary structure includes four short double-helical elements and three loops (D, anti-codon, and T loops). The record is from RNAcentral. RNAcentral also lists the same sequence under 3 other names. Lineage: Eukaryota; Metazoa; Arthropoda; Insecta; Diptera; Culicidae.